Molecule: long non-coding RNA, 392 nt
Filed under: Homo sapiens (human)
Lineage: Eukaryota; Metazoa; Chordata; Mammalia; Primates; Hominidae
Description: HSALNT0301067
Source: RNAcentral
UUUGGCUCUGAGGGACUAUAUCUCCUCAAGAGAAGAGCUAUGGAAAUGUCUAUUGCUGCUUCUGACUCAUCUGAAGGUUAAUAAUGCUGAAGUUUUAGUGUCAUCUCAAUUAUGUUGGAAACUCUUUAAAGAAGAGACAAUGGCCUACGUUCCUGGUGAAUCUACCUUAGCAUUGAACAUAGCUCACACUACUCAGAGAAGGUACUUGGAGUUAGCUAGUUGGUUGCACAAGAGUUGCAUUACGUGGUGAUAAAUAAUGCUGACAGUGCAAGCAAGAGGAGCAGCAGCAACCAGUAAGAGCCACAUUGCUGAACUCACAUGGAUGUUAUUGAGAAGAAUUGUUUCCCUUUUCUGCUUCAAGAUGUGCUAGCUCCUGUUCUGGGUUCGGGAAU